Theobroma cacao (cacao) is the source of this 209-nucleotide non-coding RNA. Lineage: Eukaryota; Viridiplantae; Streptophyta; Magnoliopsida; Malvales; Malvaceae. The record is from RefSeq and is a predicted model, not a curated record.
GUGGAUUUCAAGUAAUCAAGUAAUCAAAGGUAGUGAGCAUUCUGGCAAAAGUAAAGAGAUAUUACCGGAGGAUCAAGAAUCAGAGUACUCGGAACUCAAUAUCCAUUACAGCUCAAGAUAGUCUGUAAAUAGCUUAUUUCAUUGAGGGCUACAGUUGGACUUGCAUCCUCAAAAACUGUAGGUUUAUCGCUUUUAAUACUUUUAGUCGU